GGGUGAGAUGAGGGGAGGAUCACUCACAUGCGAGAGGUCAGAGGUUCAAAUCCUCUGCCACCCACCA
Molecule: transfer RNA, 67 nt
Filed under: Thermus sp.
Lineage: Bacteria; Thermotogati; Deinococcota; Deinococci; Thermales; Thermaceae
Also listed under: 2 other names
Description: tRNA-OTHER
Source: RNAcentral